RNAcentral lists this ribosomal RNA (253 nucleotides) under uncultured bacterium. RNAcentral's name for it is "partial 16S ribosomal RNA". It matches the Rfam family "Bacterial small subunit ribosomal RNA", at positions 524 to 776 of the family's 1533-position model. The record is from RNAcentral.
GACAGAGGGGGCAAGCGUUGCUCGGAAUUACUGGGCGUAAAGGGCGCGUAGGCGGGAUGGCAAGUCGGUCGUGAAAUCCCUCGGCUCAACCGAGGAACGUCGAUCGAUACUGCUGUUCUUGAGGAUUGCAGAGGAGACUGGAAUUCCCGGUGUAGCGGUGAAGUGUGUAGAGAUCGGGAGGAACACCGGUGGCGAAGGCGGGUCUCUGGGCAACAACUGACGCUGAGGAGCGAAAGCGUGGGGAGCGAACAGG